GAUGAACGCUGGCGGCGUGCCUAAUACAUGCAAGUCGAGCGAACGGACGAGAAGCUUGCUUUUCUGAUGUUAGCGGCGGACGGGUGAGUAACACGUGGAUAACCUACCUAUAAGACUGGGAUAACUUCGGGAAACCGGAGCUAAUACCGGAUAAUAUUUUGAACCGCAUGGUUCAAAAGUGAAAGGCGGUCUUGCUGUCACUUAUAGAUGGAUCCGCGCUGCAUUAGCUAGUUGGUAAGGUAACGGCUUACCAAGGCAACGAUGCAUAGCCGACCUGAGAGGGUGAUCGGCCACACUGGAACUGAGACACGGUCCAGACUCCUACGGGAGGCAGCAGUAGGGAAUCUUCCGCAAUGGGCGAAAGCCUGACGGAGCAACGCCGCGUGAGUGAUGAAGAUCUUCGGAUCGUAAAACUCUGUUAUUAGGGAAGAACAUAUGUGUAAGUAACUGUGCACAUCUUGACGGUACCUAAUCAGAAAGCCACGGCUAACUACGUG
Molecule: ribosomal RNA, 497 nt
Filed under: uncultured bacterium
Lineage: Bacteria
Description: partial 16S ribosomal RNA
Rfam family: Bacterial small subunit ribosomal RNA
Source: RNAcentral